ACUCAAAGGAAUAGACGGGGGCCCGCACAAGCGGUGGAUUAUGUGGUUUAAUUCGAAGCAACGCGCAAAACCUUACCUGGGUUUGAAAUCCUACGAAUCUUUCAGAGAUGAGAGAGUGCCCUUCGGGGAAUGUAGAGACAGGCGCUGCAUGGCUGUCGUCAGCUCGUGUUGUGAAAUGUUGGGUUAAGUCUCGCAACGAGCGCAACCUCUAUCCUUAGUUGCCAGCAUUAAGUUGGGCACUCUAGGGAGACUGCCUGGGUUAACCAGGAGGAAGGUGGAGAUGACGUCAAGUCCUCAUGGCCCUUAUGUCCAGGGCUACACACGUAAUACAAUGGCCAGUAUAAAGGGACGCGAGCCCGCGAGGGGGAGCUAAUCUCAAAAAGCUGGUCUCAGUCCGGAUUGGAGUCUGCAACUCGACUCCAUGAAGUUGGAAUCGCUAGUAAUCGCUGAUCAGCACGCAGCGGUGAAUACGUUCCCGGGCCUUGCACACACCGCCCGU
RNAcentral lists this ribosomal RNA (499 nucleotides) under uncultured bacterium. RNAcentral's name for it is "partial 16S ribosomal RNA". It matches the Rfam family "Bacterial small subunit ribosomal RNA", at positions 899 to 1397 of the family's 1533-position model. The record is from RNAcentral.